RNAcentral lists this ribosomal RNA (1941 nucleotides) under Triticum aestivum (bread wheat). Its description in RNAcentral is "partial small subunit ribosomal RNA". The record is from RNAcentral. Lineage: Eukaryota; Viridiplantae; Streptophyta; Magnoliopsida; Poales; Poaceae.
AUGGCUCCUCCCGGCGCCGCCCUCCUCGGCCCGCCGCAGGCCAUCGUCGACACCGAGAUGGCCGACCGCAAGCCCGACGCCAAGAAGCCGACGCCCACCAAGCAGCCCAAGCCGAAGCGCGCGCCCCGCGGGUACUCCUUCGACUCUUCCUCCUCCACGACAUCAUCGGACGGCUACAGCGACUCGGACGAUGACGAGCCCCGGCGCAAGCCGGCGGCGCCCCAUGCCCCCGGCCGCGCGCUGGCGUACGCCUCGUCGGGCGACCCCUGCGUCGACUUCUUCUUCCAGGUCGUGCCCGGCGCGACCGCGCCCGCCGACGUGGCCGCGCUGCUCGGCGUCGCGUGGGCCGCCGACGCGCGCACGGCGCUGCGCCUCGUGUGCCACCUCCGCGGCGUCCGCGGCCUCGGCAAGGCCGACCGCGAGGGCUUCUACGCCGCCGCGCUCUGGAUGCACGCCAACCACCCGCGCACGCUCGCCGCCAACCUCGGGGGAUUCGCCAGGUUCGGCUGCCUCAAGGACCUCCCCGAGAUCCUCUACCGCGUCCUCCACGGCCCCCGCGACGAGCGCAAGGACCAGGACGACGUCGCCGCGGCCGCCGCCAUCCAGUACCGCCGCGGCGGGCCCGUGGGCAAGAGCGGCAAGCGGCGCUGCGUCGGCGGCGGCAGGGCCGCCGCCGCGGAGGCCGCCAAGGCCCGGCGCGAGAAGGAGGCGGAGCACGCGCAGGCCGUGCUCGCCCGCUACGACUCCGACGAGGCCUUUCGCAACCUCUACGACGGCGUCGCCGACCUCUUCGCCGGGCUGCUCAAGUCGGACCUGGAGCACCUGCGCGCGGGCGAGACGGCCAAGAUCGGGCUCGCCGCCAAGUGGUGCCCGUCGCUGCGCUCGUCGUACGACCGCGCGACGCUGCUCUGCGAGGCCAUCGCGCGCCGCGUCUUCCCGCGCGACUCGAGCCCCGAGUACCUCGCCAUCCCCGACAAGCACUACGCCUACCGCGUCCGCAGCCGGCUCCGGCGCGAGGUGCAGGUGCCGCUGCGCAAGGUGCUCGAGCUCCCCGAGGUCUACAUGAGCGCCCGCAAGUGGGACGAGCUGCCCUACGCGCGCGUCGCCUCCACGGCCAUGCGCCAGUACAAGGAGGCGUUCGACAAGCACGACAAGGAGGGCGUGGCCGGCUUCUACGACGAGGUGCGCGCCGGGCUGUCCAGGAUCCCCGCCGGCGCGGUGCUGCCGCACGUGAUCGUCGCCGCCGCGCUCAAGGGCGAGCACGACGAGUCGGCGGAGCUCCAGUGGCGCCGCAUGGUCUCCUCCCUCGCCUCGGAGGGCCGCCUCACCAACUGCAUCGCCAUGUGCGCGCUGUCCGGCUGCACGUCGGACAAGCCGCCCGCCGCGGCCGCCAUCGCGCUGGGGCUGCUCAUCUCGGAGCUGAGCCAGGACCCCUGGAAGGGGCGCGUCAUCACCUUCGACGCCGCCCACCAGCUGCACAGGGUCCGCGGCGCGUCGCUGGUGGAGAAGCUCCGGCCGCUCGCCGCCGUGACCCCGCGGCGCGGCGCCAACCUGCAGGCGGUGUUCAACAAGAUCCUGAACGUGGCGGUGGCGGGCGCGCUGGCCAAGGACCAGAUGGUGCGGCGCGUCUUCGUGCUGAGCGACAUGGAGUUCGACGGGUGGACGGGCGGCGAGGCGUGGGUGUCGGAGCACGAGGCCAUCCGCAAGCGCUUCGCGGCCGAGGGCUUCGCGGCGCCCGAGGUGGUGUUCUGGAACGUGGGGAGCACGUCCAAGGCGGCGUCGCCGGUGGUGGCCGCGCAGGCCGGCGUGGCGCUGGUGAGCGGCUACUCCAAGAACCUGGUGCGCCUCUUCCUGGAGGCCGACGGCGUGCUCACCCCCUCCGCCAUCAUGGCCGACGCCAUCUCCGGCCCCGACUACGACGCCCUCGAGGUGCUCGACUGA